UUCUGGGUGAAAAAUAGGACAAACCCACAAGCAGGUCCCAGACACAAUCCCCAGCCCAGUCUGGUGCAAUUCCUCUGAGGGCGUUGAUGGUAUUUCUGGUGUGUUAGUUUGAUGCACUAAAGACAGUAGUCGUUUGGAACUAAUACCCCUCCAGGGAACACUGGUCAGACACCUGGAGUCCAGGUACCACAAGGAAGGUGAGGGCUGGAUGAGGUGGACAUUGGAUGGAAUGAGUCACUAGCACUCUUCUGAUAUCCUUAGCAUCUUGGGAUGUCCCUACAGGGCAGCACCAGCUGCUUGGGCCUCCCAGCAUGUGAUAUUGUAAUAACGCAAGUCUAGGAGGAGCUGUGAUAAAAGCUGUCUGGUCUGCGUAGGACCAGGGCUGUCAGGGGUAAACUGAGAAGUCAGAGAGCUUAUCCCAGUGCGACACUCACAGACUCUUCAUGCUGGCCCCAGACACCCACGCCCUUUCUGGGGCAAUGUCUCAGGUGCUAGAACCCGAAGAGUUGCAGCCUGGGGCCCAAAGCUUCUGCUUCCAGAGCUGGAGGGAUCUGUGUCUGUCGGGGUGCUCCCAGGCACAAGGGGUUCAGUGAGAAGACCAGACAUUGGCUGGGACAGCUCCAUACUGGGCACAGCAUGUUUACCCUGCCUGGGCUGGGCAGCUCAGACCCGCUCUGGGACAGUGGAGAAGGAAGAGGGUGGCUUUCUACUCGAGAUCAUUCAAAUAAAUCAGGUUUCUGAGUGAUUGACAGCAAGCAUCACUCCAGGUGUGAUGUCCAUGUCUUCAGAAGGUGUGACAGCAGCGUUCCUCAAAGCACUGUUCUCAGGUGCGAAUAUCGGAAGCCCUGGAUAUCCUUUAAAAAUGUAGAUUUGGAUUUGGUGGGGGUGGGUGGGGCUCAGGAAAGAGCAUCUUAAACAAGAACUCCCAAUGCUUCUUAUGGCCUGAAGAACCCCUCCCACCCUCCACAGAUGGAUACCUUACAAGUCAGGACAGGCAGAGAAGGCAAAUAUUUUUGGACCGCCAGCUUUUUCGUGUUCCUCAAAUCAUAUUAUACUAGUUAUUGUUUACUCGGUCAAACCUUGAGAAAAAAAUGUGUUUGGGGUAGUAGAGGGUUGCAUAAUAUGUCUUAUUCUCCUUUCUCUUCUCAGCCCCAGUGUAGUCCCUGAAUUUCCAGUAAGCAUUCCUGGCUUGGAGUCAUAUGAAUGUCACUUGUCCCCUUCUCUCCUAUCAGGUGGUAGAAACCUCAUCAUCAGGAAUGAGACGAUCACUCUCCAAGAGUAUUGUGGAAGUAUUAGGUGAUGGGAAAAUACGUAGGUGCUGUGCAAAGCUGGCAUCUUCUCUUCAAGCACAUCUGCAUCCAGUGGGCACUGCCACCGUCAGACAGUGAGUUGUCAAGAUGUCUAUGCUCGGGCCGGCCGAGUGGCGUGUUGGUUAGGUGCUGGCUUGGGAUGCCAGAGGGCCCUGGUUCGGA
Long non-coding RNA from Hipposideros armiger (great roundleaf bat), 1472 nucleotides. RefSeq lists it as uncharacterized. The record is from RefSeq and is a predicted model, not a curated record. NCBI's taxonomy places the organism in Eukaryota, Metazoa, Chordata, Mammalia, Chiroptera, Hipposideridae. The transcript is spliced from 3 exons.